CCUUAUCAUUUAGAGGAAGGAGAAGUCGUAACAAGGUUUUUGUAGGUGAACCUACAGAAGGAUCAUUGUCGAAACUUGCAAAGCAGACCACGAACACGUGUUUAACCACAUCAGGGCCGAUACGAGGGGAGGAACCCUCUCGACGUGGCCCUAUCUCCUGCUGGCGCACGCGCAAAUUCAUGCCAUGUGGGCUAAYGAACCCCGGCGCGGCAUGUCGCGCCCAUCCAUGGUGCGCGAGGGGGGGAGCGGACAUCUCUUAAAAUAUCAAAAUGACUCUUGACAACGGAUAUCUCGAUUCUCGUAUCGAUGAAGAAUGUAGAUAAAUACGAUACUUGAUGUGAAUUACAGAAUCUCGUGAACCAUCGAGUCUUUGAACGCAAGUUGCGCCCGAAGCUAUUAGGCCGAGGGCAUGUCUACCUAGGCAUCAUGCAUCGCGUCGCCCCCCUCUCGUGCUCCUCUAGGGUAACGGGUGACGGGGGCGGACAAUGGCCUCCUAUGCGCCCCGUGCGCGCGGCCAGCCCAAAUGUGAUCCCACAGCGAUGCACGUCAUGACCAGUGGUAUUUGAACACUCAACUCGCGUGCUGUCAUGCGAGACGGUAUCAUCCGCUCGGGCAUCAUCACCAACCCAAACGUCAUGUUGCGAUCGCGCUUCCGACCAUGGCCUUAGGUCAGGCGGGAUUACUCGCUGAGUUUAAGCAUAUCAAU
RNAcentral lists this unclassified non-coding RNA (706 nucleotides) under Paulownia kawakamii. RNAcentral describes it as "partial contains small subunit ribosomal RNA, internal transcribed spacer 1, 5.8S ribosomal RNA, internal transcribed spacer 2, and large subunit ribosomal RNA". Lineage: Eukaryota; Viridiplantae; Streptophyta; Magnoliopsida; Lamiales; Paulowniaceae. The record is from RNAcentral.